GACGAACCGUCCAAACGUUAUUCGGAAUCACUGGGCUUAAAGGGCGCGUAGGCGGGUCAUCAAGUCGGGGGUGAAAUCUUUCAGCUCAACUGGAAAAGAGCUUCCGAUACUGGUGGUCUCGAGGGAGGUAGGGGUCGAUGGAACUUCCGGUGGAGCGGUGAAAUGCGUAGAUAUCGGAAGGAACGCCGGUGGCGAAAGCGAUCGACUGGACCUUUUCUGACGCUGAGGCGCGAAAGCCAGGGGAGCAAACGGG
This 253-nucleotide ribosomal RNA is filed under the name uncultured bacterium. RNAcentral's name for it is "partial 16S ribosomal RNA". It matches the Rfam family "Bacterial small subunit ribosomal RNA", at positions 524 to 776 of the family's 1533-position model. The record is from RNAcentral.